This 22-nucleotide microRNA is filed under the name Callorhinchus milii (elephant shark). RNAcentral describes it as "eshark_mir-467_9". Lineage: Eukaryota; Metazoa; Chordata; Chondrichthyes; Chimaeriformes; Callorhinchidae. The record is from RNAcentral.
GAGUUGUGCUUUACUGUGGUAU